This 431-nucleotide ribosomal RNA is filed under the name uncultured bacterium. Its description in RNAcentral is "bacterial SSU rRNA". It matches the Rfam family "Bacterial small subunit ribosomal RNA", at positions 29 to 506 of the family's 1533-position model. The record is from RNAcentral.
ACGAACGCUGGCGGCAUGCCUAACACAUGCAAGUCGAACGAACCCUUCGGGGUUAGUGGCGCACGGGUGCGUAACGCGUGGGAAUCUACCCUUAGGUUCGGAAUAACUCAGAGAAAUUUGAGCUAAUACCGGAUGAUGACGUAAGUCCAAAGAUUUAUCGCCUAAGGAUGAGCCCGCGUAGGAUUAGCUAGUUGGUGUGGUAAAGGCGCACCAAGGCGACGAUCCUUAGCUGGUCUGAGAGGAUGAUCAGCCACACUGGGACUGAGACACGGCCCAGACUCCUACGGGAGGCAGCAGUGGGGAAUAUUGGACAAUGGGCGAAAGCCUGAUCCAGCAAUGCCGCGUGAGUGAUGAAGGCCUUAGGGUUGUAAAGCUCUUUUACCCGGGAUGAUAAUGACAGUACCGGGAGAAUAAGCUCCGGCUAACUCCGU